UCCUUCACGACGAGCCCAGAGCAGCGCGUGCGCAACGAAAUAUCGAUCGCGCGAGGGAUUCUAAAGGGAGCGGUCACGUCACGGAGGCAGAAUUUCGCGGGCAAACGCUGGUGAGAUCCUGGACAGCCCACACAAACACCCCCGUCGGGACGUCCCGUCUGAGCCUGAGCCGUCUGUAAAAAAGAGAAAGGGGAGGAAGAGGAAGAGAGAUUGUUAUGAUUAAUAUCCCGCUCCAGGUUACUGUCGAUAGUAACAUUUGCCAGUAUGUAUCCUUAAAGAGACGGACGCGUGUGACGAGUGAAAGCAUGUCUAUGGCUGAUAACACACCUCCCGACUACGGUCACAAACCAGUGGAAGCAAAGAAAGCUGUUACACCUGCAAAACCUGGAUAUUUUCUGGAAAGACUGCCUAUACAACUACUGCUGGUGUCGCUAUGUGGGCGCUGAAGAGGUGGUCUUUCCUGAGGGAGUCAGCAGGCAGGUUUCUUCCACGCUGCCAACUUAAACAGUGAAAUUACAUCCAGUGUAGUUUACGCUACAUUGCACACAGUCAUCCGAGCGUGGAGGACCGGAGAGGGGAACAGAGCCGGACUGUGUCCCAGGAGAGGGGAUUUAGUGGGAGCUCAAAUCAACACUGCAGCUCGGAGAAAAGGUCUGUCCGUCCACUCUGGAGAUCGAGAACUUCUCAGGUCUCCACCAUCAACAUUCAAUCCCUUUGUACGGGUUUGUCGGAUCCUGCUGUUUUAACUGGCAUCACUCAGAGAUGGACCACAAACACCGUUCUGACAUGUACAUCGACUCGGACGUAAAACAUAAGAAAUACUGAAUGAUUAGACUCUCAUAUGUGCGUUUACUGUAAAUGAGAGUCGGAUCAUGAGCUGACUGUCAGGCGAUGAAUGUUUGCUUUUCCAAUGCGUCGUGAGCAGGAAGCAUUGUAUGUUCUCAAAGAAGAAAAAAUGAAUUUGUGAUGAUGGUCAGUUGGUUGUGAGCAAUAAUUGUAGUGUCGUCGUAGAGGUCCAGCUGGAGAACUAUAUACCAGCAAAGUCAUGAAGACUAUUUAUGAAAACUAAAUAUUUAAGGCUGGUUUUUGUUCUGAAGGAUGAGAACAGUUGUGCUACUGGUAAAAUCGGUGAACAACUAUAAAAAAAACACACAAGAAAGCAGU
Long non-coding RNA from Puntigrus tetrazona (Sumatra barb), 1164 nucleotides. RefSeq lists it as uncharacterized. The record is from RefSeq and is a predicted model, not a curated record. The transcript is spliced from 4 exons. NCBI's taxonomy places the organism in Eukaryota, Metazoa, Chordata, Actinopteri, Cypriniformes, Cyprinidae.